Long non-coding RNA from Poecile atricapillus (Black-capped chickadee), 2760 nucleotides. RefSeq lists it as uncharacterized. NCBI's taxonomy places the organism in Eukaryota, Metazoa, Chordata, Aves, Passeriformes, Paridae. The transcript has 4 exons. The record is from RefSeq and is a predicted model, not a curated record.
UGGCGCCGGCUGUGCCGGGCCGCACCGCGACACGGCCCGGGGACACCGGGCGGCCACAGGCUGGAGAGAGCAGCCCGUGUGCCACUCUCAACAUGGCGGCGCGGAAAGGGAGCCGCAGUUUGCCACUCCCAAGAUGGCGGAAGUGAUAACAGUCACGUGACAGAGCACCACAGAUGGCUGUCGGGGCUGAGCCACACUCAAAAUGGCGGGACGGCGACAGAGGUGUCUCUGACUCUGCCUGAUGUUCCCCGCGCGGCUCCCGCCAGUCCCCGUCGCCGCUGACGCCACCACCUGUGUCUCCACACCGGGAACGCUGAGAAAAAUCGCGCUGAAAGCGCUGGGUCGGCGUCGGGCGGUGGGGUGGAUUUCAGGCAGCCGAAAGACAGACGCCUUUGUGAGGAGUGGGGGACCUUAAUCGUGCCACUCCAAAAAUGGCGGCUUGACCGGAAAUGGCUUCCGCCACAAUCAAAGAUGGCGACGAAGGGCGGAAGUCACUUUUUUUAUGCCACACCAAAGAUGGCGGUUUGACACGCCUCUUUACGGCCUUCCAAAGAUGGCGGCAUCUUGCGCAUGCGCCUUGGGGAUGGGACAAAUGGCGGCCGGGAAGGAACAUGCUCCGUCCUUUCGGCUGCCUGAACGCCACGCCGGCGCCGACCCAGGUCUUUUAGCGCGAUUUUUCAUAACGUUUCCCGACGUGGGAAAACGGGUUGUGCGGAGCUGGGAGCACCCGGCAGGAUGCAGCUCCUCUUUCCUAGGAGGGUUGAGAACUCCACUGGUUCCAUGAAUGGAGACAACAGGAUUGAUGUUCUAUGGAUCCCUUGGCAAAUUGCUGACAAGGAAAAGUCCCCACCAAGGUCUUGUCUGUGGCACCUGCAGCUGCCGUGGCCACUGAAAUGCUCCAGAUCCAGUGGUAUUUGAGAUGAGCUGUGGCAGAAUGGAGGAGCAAACACUUGGGAUUGAUUUACUGCAAGAACUGGGAUUCAGUAGCAGCAAUCAGCUGAGCUGUGGUGAGAAACCUCUCCAGUUUGUGCUCCCAUUCAGCUCCUUCUCCUACCCUGGGCUCCUGGCAGGAGCCGUGGAAUGCCGGAAUGGUUUGGGGUAGAAGGGACCUUAAAAGCUCAUCCUGCUCCACUCCCUGCCACGGGGACAACUUCCACUAUCCCAGCUUGCUCCAAGCCCUGUUCAGCCUGACCUUGGACACUCCCAGGGAUCCAGGGGCAGCCACAGCUUCUCUGGACAACCUGUGCCAGGGCCUUGCUAAAAUCAGAGGGAAGUAUUCCCUCAUAAUAGCAAACCUAAACUCUUCAAAACAAGCAAUGUAGCAUAGAUGCCAAUGAUGGGGAAGAAGCUGGAUUUCACACAGUGGAGGCCGUGAUUUAUGCAGCAGAGAAGGAGCUGCUGAAUAUUAAAGGCAUCAACCAAAGCUGGCAGAAUCCCAGUAAGGAUGUUCUGGAACUUUAACCCAAGAUAUUCCACAGGUUUAUUUGUCCUGGCUGAAAGCACUGUGGUAAAUUUGGAAGGUCUCCAAAGGGCAGUAAAGGUGAUUGGAGGUGUGACAUAACUUGUGAUGGGAAAAGUCAAAAUGCACCAGGACAGGACUGAAGUGGAGGAUAUUUCCAUAAAACACACAAAAUGGAUGUUGGAGCUUUCUUGGAGCAGAAUUUCAGUUCUGUUCAGAGGUACCAACUCAUGCACGGUCUGUGAAAUGUGCACAGAAUGAUACAGGCACCUCUCCACAAGGCAGGAAAUAUUAAUUACGGGGGGUUAACGAACGGCAGGAGCUCUCCUGGCACUGCUCAGACGGGUUUUCCCUCAGGCUGAUGCAGCCAAACUGAUUCCCAGGGUUUCACCACAGCCACAGACCUCUGCCAACGACGGUCAGAGAGUAUCCCAAUCACCACUGAUUCCAAAGAGCUGGACAAGCUCCAUCAAGGAGAAAUAGAAACAGGAUCCAUAAUGGACUUAUCUGGGGAAUUCCAAUUAGGUCCAUGUACUUCCCGGGCAGCAUUCCCAUGGGACCAUACCCUGCGUGUUUUUCUGGAUCCCGGUGCAGCAGAAUCUCAGUGGCCACGGUUGGGAAUUCGGUGAAUUGGAAGCAGAGCUGAAGGGUUUGUCCACUAAGAGAAGUGGUGAUUAUAAACCAAAGCAGCAUGCUAUUCCACACCAUGGAUUUGGGAUUGGUGAUGGUCCCAAUCCAUAAUCUUUGCUCAUUUUCUUUUGGAUGCUGCAGCCUGAUGGGCUGGGGGAGCUGCUCCUUUCCAUUUCCAUUUAAUUUUCUGUAUUUCAUUAAUUCUCUGUGGAAAUCUGCUUUUAAUGAAAGGGCCCAGGAGGAUAUCGAUGUCGUCCCAGGUUCCUGGGAUUCACAGCUCUGUGUUCAGACCAAGGACUGUUCUGGCUGGCAGAAGCUGCACCAAUCUCCCAAGAAUCUCUGGAUUUUCUUCUCCCAAUUCUCAGUUUGGGGGUGCAGUGCAGCCCUGCCCUGUGCAUCUCCUAGAAGAGUUUUGGUGUUUAAAAGGUUAUUUUGUAUCCUGUAGUACUUGUAACUUGAUAAAAAAGUAUAACACUGUAUCAAUGUGGUUUUGAUUGGCUCAUUUACAUUCCUUAAUUAAAGCAAAUAAUUGAGAAGGGGUUUGAGCAGCCCUUGGUUGGAGCUGGCAGCUCUUCCUUAUCUCCUCAUUCACUGAAUUUCUUUGAAUUAUUUCUUAAGCAGUUACUGCAAUCCAGAUGCACAAUGAGGAGAACAGCAUUGCUGCCCUGCUG